AGCUAUAUACCCAUGACAGAGAAGUAAGGUAGUCCACUUUGUCUAUACAGAUCACUAGGAAAUCUUUACCUAACAUCUGUUGCCGCCCCAGUAAUUUUAGCCAUCCGAUCCUAUCCCUAUGUUGUACUAAUAAACACCGUCGUCAAAGGUCCAACGAUUUCGAUGUCGGCAAAGGCAUGGGCAGGUCACCACCAGGCCGGCAAGGAAACUACGAGGAAAUGGCCUGGCAGAAACUUGAUCACAGAGUCGCUUGCCUCUUGAAUAGUAGUAAAAUUGGAAGUUCAAAGAUCAGCUUAAAAAUAAAAGUGGUAAUGAAAGCGAACUCUUUUUGGACCAAUUAAGAUUCAGAUCGACACAAAAAAGAAGGCUAACCUUAAGUAUAAACUCG
Molecule: long non-coding RNA, 388 nt
Filed under: Setaria italica (foxtail millet)
Lineage: Eukaryota; Viridiplantae; Streptophyta; Magnoliopsida; Poales; Poaceae
Description: long non-coding RNA (SITA_LNC000083)
Source: RNAcentral